Unclassified non-coding RNA from Mesocricetus auratus (golden hamster), 286 nucleotides. It matches the Rfam family "Metazoan signal recognition particle RNA". From Rfam's summary of the family: The signal recognition particle (SRP) is a universally conserved ribonucleoprotein. It is involved in the co-translational targeting of proteins to membranes. The record is from Ensembl. Lineage: Eukaryota; Metazoa; Chordata; Mammalia; Rodentia; Cricetidae.
GCUGGGCACGGUGGCACACACCUGUAGUCCCAGCUACUCAGGAGGCGGAGAUAGGAGGAUCAAUUGAGUCCAGGAGUUCUGGGCUGUAGUGUGUUAUACCGAUCAGGUGUUCACACUAAGUUUGGCAUCAAUAUGGUGACCUCUGGGAGCGGGGGACCACCAGGUUGCCUAAGGAGGGGUGAACCAGCCCAGGUCGGAAAAAGCUUAGAGCUAGGUGUGGUGGUACAAGUCUUUAAUCCCAGCACUACAGAGGCAGAGGCCAGCCUGGUCUACAGAUAAAGUUUCA